Molecule: non-coding RNA, 4338 nt
Organism: Phalacrocorax carbo (great cormorant)
Lineage: Eukaryota; Metazoa; Chordata; Aves; Suliformes; Phalacrocoracidae
Source: RefSeq, a predicted model, not a curated record
GAGCCACCAUGUACCCCCUCCCUCCUCUCCCCAACCCUCUCCCAGCGCAUCCUCCGUCCUCGGUAGCUCCCAGGUCUCCCAUGGUGCCCCGAGGUGCACCACGCUCCCCUUCAUGCUUCUUUUCCCUCCAGGGUCCCUCCUCGGGCCUCUCUCUCCUCUCCGCACCUCCUAGUUUGGGGGGUGUCCUGCAGCCAGGCACCCAGAGUGCAGGCGGAUUGGAGACCGAGAUCACCUUCUCUGGUGUUUUGCCUUGUUCCCAGAUAACAGGGUCAAAGACCUGCCUGUCUUGGGGUGCGGGCAGGAGGGAAGAUGGUGUUGCAGUUGCUGAAGAGGAAGGAAACCCCGGAAAGGACUCAGCAGGCCUCACGGGCAGGGGCUGCGGCAAGAACUUGGCAUGUCGUGCAGCAUAAGCUGUUUGAAUUUGAGAGGGAGGUUGGUGUGUGGUGACAUCAGAUGAGCAGCGUGGGCCUUUGCACGGUCUGACUCAUGUUUAGGAGGGCUGACAGUAGCAAUCAGCACGUAGAGCUGCAGUAGGCAAGGGUGCAACAAAAUAACCACUAAUUCCUGAGAUGUGCUAGAAACCUUUGCAAAUAGUGUGAGUUUAGCUCAAUCUCAUGACUGUUUUAUCUGUGCUUUUGAUUUUGUGUUUUCAUUUUGUUUUGGGGCUGGCAAUGUGAAAUGAAGCAGCACUUGAAAGCAAAAAACAUUUGAAAUGGAGAAAUAGAUUUAAGAUAAUUGUCCUGAAGUGCCUAACUAGACUGUUGUGCAGUCUUAUUCCAGCUUUGCCGUCUUUCUUUCAUGCUCUGCCUUUUCUGAAAGCUCAGUCACAAUGUGGUUGGUUUUUUUAACUCUGUUCUUCCUACAUUGGCAACUAGUGUUUGAAUUGGAGUAUAUGGGCUGUGCCUCUGUAGACACUUAGCAGAGUCCAAAUAAUCUAAAAUGGAAGACUCAUCCAGUGUCAUGUUUUAGACAAAAUCAUCCAGGAAAGCCUUGUAACAUCACUAACACAAAAAGAUCUGGAAGUAGGCCCUGGAUACAUGUACAGGUAUCACUUUACCAGCCACUGAAUUACAGCCAUCUCUUGGGUGGAAAACAACAGCUGUUUCAUCAUGUACAGCAAUACUAGCAAAACACAAGACUCGGAGAUUAGUAAUGGCAUCUGAAAAUCCACAUAUAUGCAAAAAUAUUUCAUCCAUUGCUAGGGAAGCUUACAUAGUAGCUACACCUUUGAUCCAUUCCUACUGGUUUAAGUGCUUGUAUUUGCCAGUUAGCAAGUUUUAAACACGUAUAGAUAGGCUACAAUAGAUUAUGAAGGUUAUGAUGUUUUCUUCUGUCAUUUGAACAGGUUUGGAUUCUUUUCUGUUUCACCUUGGCCAAAAUAUAGACUAAAAGAUAGUAUCUGGACUUGCAAUGACAUGCUAAAUAAUGUUUAAAAAUAAUUACAAAAGCCACAAGUUAGCAGCAGAAUUAGUAACAUAUAGGAUAUAAAAAGGAAAUAAAAAAUCCUAUUCCUGCAUUUUAUUGAAUUACAAAUUUUGUUAUAGUAAGAAUCAAAUAUAGUAGGUCAAAUACAUAGUGAUUUUGCCUCCAUUGCAUAUGGAAAAUAAAAAAAAUCUCAAAAGAGUUGAAAUAUGUCAGGAAUAAAUAGUAUUUCAUUAUAAACCAGUUUUUGUGCAGUACUGCAUGGGGCUGGACUGAUGCUGGAGAACCAGCAGAAUCCCCUUCCCAUCCAGAGGAUUCUAAGGCACGGAGAGAUUUUCAGUUUGGAAGGAACUCCCACAAUUAGCUGUUCUGAACUUGUAUUCAUGCAGGCUAUGUGCAUCCUUCAAGUAAUUCCCCCCUCGGUUUCAAUAACCGUGGUUGAACUAGGCCAGAUCUUCCAGGUAGAAGAUCCCACAUUCUACCUACAUAUGAGAAAAAGGUGUCUUGUUUAAGAUCAUGAAUAUUCUCUGAUGAGACCCUGCUUCAACUUGCUAGGCUACAGACUAUCAAGUGCAUUUGGUUUAGGAAGAAUGGAUAAAUGUACGGUACCACUUUACCUUUUUAUUACAUAUAAAUACAUUUAUGCUUUUUGUGUUACCUGUUGGCAGAUUCCACCCUCGGAGCAUGGCCAAAUAGUUGUAGCACAACUGAGGAGGUGAGGAGCUCUUAAAGUACAUCAGCUGCUGAUGAAAUAAAAACUCGGCAGAAUAGUCCCUUAAGAAGGUCCCAUCCCUCUUUCCCCAUGCCCAGCUGCUCCUUCUUCCUGUCACCAGAAGCUUCUGACCCCAUUAGAUGGGCUGAAUGCCAAACAAAUUGUGCAUGUGGCUGGUCUCUAAGUAAGGAGAAGUAAAUUUCUGUUGAGGGUAUAGAAUGAGAAUCCUUAUUUGUUUCAAAUCAAGUACUGGGUAUAUUUUCAAUGCAAAAUUAAUGACCCUAAUUUGAACCAUGAGGAAAUGGGAAAGGAUAUGUUGGAUUUGGAGGUAGACAGCUGGAGAAGAAAUGCAGUAGUGAAAGCAGAUACGAAACAAAAACUGAAGCAAUCACAAUUACUUCUCCAAAUCUGGAAGCCUGAAAUACUUCAGGAUACAAGUCCACUAAUUACAAAUCUAGCAAAUGUGCCUAUACAGCUUUGCCUCUGUGCUGGCAGGAAAUAGCAACAUAAAUCAUCAAGAAACCUAGUUAUUAUUCUUCUGGACUUCCUAAUGUAUCAUCAGUUUGAGUGUUGGUAUUUUGACCAUUCUGUUCUGGAAGAGUUGUUUGGCUAUUAUCUUACAGAUCAGAAAUAAAGCUUUCUUAAUUCAUUGUCCAUCUGUCCACAACGUCUUGUGCUAUACUGCCUCUGAGGGCUACCUGUAAAAAAUGAAUGCUUUUUACUGUAAGAUACAAGACUGGCAUAUUUAGGAGAUCAGGGAAUUUAUAAACAAAAAAAUACAGAAUCAGCCUAAAAUCUGUAUGAAUACAUUAUUUUCUUGAGACAACACAAAGUUUAAGUGAGCUCUUGAAGGCUAGGUUCCUGAAGCAUUAUUCUUGAUAGGAAAAGCAAUCAAUAAUCAUUAUAGCUCUGCAUAUCAAUCUAUAAUCUCUCCUGAAUUUUUUUUAUAUAGGUCGCUAGUAAACAAGAAGAACGAAGUGCUUUAUACGUGCUAAGUUAGAUAAAAUUGCCAAUUUUAAAGCAAAGCAAUUUUAUUAUUUUUUAGCCUAUGCGUUAGUUUGAAAAGGUACAUGCUGGACUAAAGUGAGCUACUGCUAAACGACUGGGAUGGUUGGAGCUAAGCUAAACUCUGUGGUUUUUUACCUAAACAAAAUACAUGCAAGUAAGAUAGUGCAUACCAUGACUUUCAACAGUCACCUUACGCUCAAAUGAAAAGAAAUCUUGGGAGUGAAAGCAAUGGAAGUUUUGUUUUUAUCAAAUCAAAAUACAUAAUACCUGCCUUAGGUUUAGUUCAUGUAACUUAGGGGUAUUGUACCAGUUACUAAAAAACAUAGAAAAAAUAAUGCAGCACUUCUCCCUAAGGUAGAUGAUCUGCUUUAAGGAAAAGUAAUUUCCGUGUAACUACAUUCUAAGCCUUAUAUUUAUUUGCUUUACACAGCAUCCAACUGCAACAUUUAUUAAAUAAUGCAAUCACAAAAUUGCAUAUACUGAUAAGUGGAAAAACAGACUACCUGACUAUCUAAAAAUCAGUAUUCAAACACAGGAGUGAUAGGGUAGAAGCUGGGAAAAAAAAAGCCCAGGAGUUUUCUCAAGAUGUUUCUUUAGCUUAAUAAUUACUCACUAAUGUCUUAUAUUCUCUUAUGUUAUCUAACAAUUAGCCUAUCAGCUUGGUUAUUUGUAAUAGUAAGUAAUACCCUCUAGUGGUAUACAUGGGAAAGGGAGCCAGACAAAGAAUGAUUACUUUUUUUUUUUAUCGUGAAAGAGGCUAAAUAACAUUUUCACUUCUAUGACAUAGGGUAUCACUGGUCUGUCGAGAAGUGCUAGUUAAAAUGGAAAAUGCACUGCAAGCAUUAGACUUGAAUUAGAUGUCUGGGUUUAGUUAGAACAGCUAGGUCUAGAACAUGACCUGGACCACUGCAAGUCUGGAACUACUUGUUUGCAGACAAAACAAAUUGCCACUGCAACACUUGCAGCCUGGAAGGGGUGGUUUUCCUGAUGUCCAGGUCAGAGAGAUCUGUCUGAACAUCAGAGGGCAACAUUUAAUUCCUACACAUUAAGGUUAGUAGACCUUGGAGUAGUGUUAUCUAACAGAGUUAAAAGUAAUUCUUUAGGCAAAAUAGGAAUACUUGUCAGUCUCCAAUAUUGCAGUGUAAUAAAGCCUGUAUUUCCAGCCUCCACGUGCCAUUCAGAGCUAAUUAUCAAAA